UACGAAGGGGGCUAGCGUUGUUCGGAUUUACUGGGCGUAAAGGGCGCGUAGGCGGCCUGCUAAGUCACACGUGAAAUCCCUCGGCUCAACCGGGGAACUGCGUGUGAUACUGGCGGGCUUGAAUUCGGGAGAGGGAUGUGGAAUUCCAGGUGUAGCGGUGAAAUGCGUAGAUAUCUGGAGGAACACCGGUGGCGAAGGCGGCAUCCUGGACCGAGAUUGACGCUGAGGCGCGAAAGCUAGGGGAGCAAACGGG
RNAcentral lists this ribosomal RNA (253 nucleotides) under uncultured bacterium. RNAcentral describes it as "partial 16S ribosomal RNA". It matches the Rfam family "Bacterial small subunit ribosomal RNA", at positions 524 to 776 of the family's 1533-position model. The record is from RNAcentral.